This 27-nucleotide non-coding RNA is filed under the name Homo sapiens (human). Lineage: Eukaryota; Metazoa; Chordata; Mammalia; Primates; Hominidae. The record is from RNAcentral.
UGGGAACAGUGAGUCACUCAGCUGGCC